GGUCAAGUUAUUAAGGGUGUAGGGCGAAUGCCUUGGCACUAGGAGCCGAUGAAGGACGCGAUAAGCUGCGAUAAGCUUGGGGGAGUUGCACGUAAACUGUGAUCCCAAGAUUUCCGAAUGAGGAAACUCACUUAGAGUAAUGUCUAAGUAUCGUAUAGUGAAUACAUAGCUAUGCGAGGGGAACCCGGGGAACUGAAACAUCUAAGUACCCGGAGGAAGAGAAAGAAAUUCGAUUCCGUAAGUAGCGGCGAGCGAACGCGGAACAGGCCAAACCAGUGAAGUUUUCUUCA
Molecule: ribosomal RNA, 290 nt
Filed under: Terrisporobacter glycolicus
Lineage: Bacteria; Bacillati; Bacillota; Clostridia; Peptostreptococcales; Peptostreptococcaceae
Description: partial 23S ribosomal RNA
Rfam family: Bacterial large subunit ribosomal RNA
Source: RNAcentral